RNA transcript from Sceloporus undulatus (fence lizard), 1634 nucleotides. It is a transcript of the gene named galactokinase 1, with no coding region annotated. The record is from RefSeq and is a predicted model, not a curated record. Lineage: Eukaryota; Metazoa; Chordata; Lepidosauria; Squamata; Phrynosomatidae. The transcript is spliced from 9 exons.
ACAGUGUUGCAAGUUGCAACCUUUGCUCCUGUGCCAGCAGCAAGGCUUGAGAGUGGGCACUGGCCCUGCUCUUCCUGUCUGGGUCCCUUGCCCUUUGCACACUUCCCUGCUGCAGGCCAGCCCCAUGGAGGGACCCAGAGAUCCCGACCUGGGCUCCCUGCUGGCAGCUGCCCGGGGGUCUUACAGAAGGACCUUUGGGGCGGAUCCCAAGAUCGCCGCCUCUGCUCCUGGAAGGGUCAACCUCAUCGGGGAGCACACCGACUACAACCAGGGCUUCGUCCUCCCCAUGGCCUUGCGGAUGUAUACAGUGAUAGUUGGGAGUCCAAGAGAAGACAAAAUAAUAUCCAUUGUCACAACAGCUGAGGAAGCUGAAGAUCCUAAAAAGGUGCAGUUCCCAGUUCCAGGGGAAGGGCUUGUCUUGAAACCUGGAGAACCACGCUGGGCUAACUAUGUCAAGGGGGUUGUCCAACAUUAUAAAGCUGGCCCUCUCCCAGGCUUUAAUGCUGUUAUAACUAGCAGUGUUCCACUGGGUGCUGGUCUUUCGAGCUCAGCCUCCUUGGAAGUGGCUACCUACACUUUCCUGCAGCAGCUGUGUCCAGAUGAUAGGGAUCCAGUUGCUAAGGCAUUAGUAUGCCAAAAAGCCGAACACACCUUUGCAAUGAUGCCUUGUGGAAUCAUGGACCAGUUCAUCUCUGUGAUGGGGACGGAGGGCCAUGCCUUGCUGCUGGACUGCAGGUCACUGGAGACUUGCCUAGUACCUCUGGCUGAUCCAAAUGUACUUGUUCUCAUCACCAACUCCAAUGUACGGCACACCUUGACAGGCAGCGAGUACCCCACCCGUCGGCACCAGUGUGAAGAGGCUGCAAAGGUGCUUGGCAAACCAAGCUUGAGAGAAGCAACUAUGACAGACUUAGAGAAGGUGAAGGGCCUUCUUAGUGAGGAGGUGUACAGGCGAGCUAGACAUGUCAUUGGAGAGAUAGAGCGCACUACCAGAGCUGUGGAAGCACUAAAGUCCAGGGACUAUCAGACGUUUGGACAACUAAUGGUGGAGAGUCACAACUCCUUGAGGGAUGACUAUGAAGUCAGCUGUCCAGAACUAGAUGAGCUGGUUUCUGCUGCCAUGGAGAUCCCUGAAGUUUAUGGAAGCAGAAUGACUGGUGGUGGGUUUGGAGGUUGCACUGUUACGUUACUUGAAUCUGGAGCAGCAGAGAAAGUUCUGAGGCAUAUAAAGGUGACUGAUCAGUCCUUAAAGGUCAGGGAUUCUCCCUCCCAGGUACAAUGAGGCUUUUGAACGAUCUCCAUUGGUGUCAGCGGUUACACUGGCAGAGGUGCAGUAUGUGAAAGUGAACACAACACGACCAGUCACAUCAGGAAAAAUACAGUGGAAAAGCCACUUUUUAUUUCUCAACACCUUCCGGUGGAGCUAAAGCACAUCCCUUGCCUUGACAAGAAACUCUUGCCAUCCAUACAAGGAUAUGCUGCUGCUACUCUGUUAUCAGAGACCAGAAGAAUUUAGAGAGCUCCAAGCAAGUUUACCUAAUUCCUAUUUGCUUGGGAUAAAGACCUCAAAUUCACUUACUAAGGAAUUUAUUUUGACACCUUUCAUUAAUGUCAUUAAAAAUAUAUCAGUUUUA